This 1451-nucleotide ribosomal RNA is filed under the name Streptococcus salivarius. RNAcentral's name for it is "bacterial SSU rRNA". It matches the Rfam family "Bacterial small subunit ribosomal RNA". The record is from RNAcentral. Lineage: Bacteria; Bacillati; Bacillota; Bacilli; Lactobacillales; Streptococcaceae.
UUGGGGGGUGGCCUAUACAUGCAAGUAGAACGCUGAAGAGAGGAGCUUGCUCUUCUUGGAUGAGUUGCGAACGGGUGAGUAACGCGUAGGUAACCUGCCUUGUAGCGGGGGAUAACUAUUGGAAACGAUAGCUAAUACCGCAUAACAAUGGAUGACACAUGUCAUUUAUUUGAAAGGGGCAAUUGCUCCACUACAAGAUGGACCUGCGUUGUAUUAGCUAGUAGGUGAGGUAACGGCUCACCUAGGCGACGAUACAUAGCCGACCUGAGAGGGUGAUCGGCCACACUGGGACUGAGACACGGCCCAGACUCCUACGGGAGGCAGCAGUAGGGAAUCUUCGGCAAUGGGGGCAACCCUGACCGAGCAACGCCGCGUGAGUGAAGAAGGUUUUCGGAUCGUAAAGCUCUGUUGUAAGUCAAGAACGAGUGUGAGAGUGGAAAGUUCACACUGUGACGGUAGCUUACCAGAAAGGGACGGCUAACUACGUGCCAGCAGCCGCGGUAAUACGUAGGUCCCGAGCGUUGUCCGGAUUUAUUGGGCGUAAAGCGAGCGCAGGCGGUUUGAUAAGUCUGAAGUUAAAGGCUGUGGCUCAACCAUAGUUCGCUUUGGAAACUGUCAAACUUGAGUGCAGAAGGGGAGAGUGGAAUUCCAUGUGUAGCGGUGAAAUGCGUAGAUAUAUGGAGGAACACCGGUGGCGAAAGCGGCUCUCUGGUCUGUAACUGACGCUGAGGCUCGAAAGCGUGGGGAGCGAACAGGAUUAGAUACCCUGGUAGUCCACGCCGUAAACGAUGAGUGCUAGGUGUUGGAUCCUUUCCGGGAUUCAGUGCCGCAGCUAACGCAUUAAGCACUCCGCCUGGGGAGUACGACCGCAAGGUUGAAACUCAAAGGAAUUGACGGGGGCCCGCACAAGCGGUGGAGCAUGUGGUUUAAUUCGAAGCAACGCGAAGAACCUUACCAGGUCUUGACAUCCCGAUGCUAUUUCUAGAGAUAGAAAGUUACUUCGGUACAUCGGUGACAGGUGGUGCAUGGUUGUCGUCAGCUCGUGUCGUGAGAUGUUGGGUUAAGUCCCGCAACGAGCGCAACCCCUAUUGUUAGUUGCCAUCAUUCAGUUGGGCACUCUAGCGAGACUGCCGGUAAUAAACCGGAGGAAGGUGGGGAUGACGUCAAAUCAUCAUGCCCCUUAUGACCUGGGCUACACACGUGCUACAAUGGUUGGUACAACGAGUUGCGAGUCGGUGACGGCAAGCUAAUCUCUUAAAGCCAAUCUCAGUUCGGAUUGUAGGCUGCAACUCGCCUACAUGAAGUCGGAAUCGCUAGUAAUCGCGGAUCAGCACGCCGCGGUGAAUACGUUCCCGGGCCUUGUACACACCGCCCGUCACACCACGAGAGUUUGUAACACCCGAAGUCGGUGAGGUAACCUUUUGGAGCCAGCCGCCUAAGGUGGGAAAGGU